RNAcentral lists this ribosomal RNA (901 nucleotides) under Escherichia coli. RNAcentral's name for it is "partial 23S ribosomal RNA". It matches the Rfam family "Bacterial large subunit ribosomal RNA", at positions 1 to 934 of the family's 2925-position model. Lineage: Bacteria; Pseudomonadati; Pseudomonadota; Gammaproteobacteria; Enterobacterales; Enterobacteriaceae. The record is from RNAcentral.
GGGUUGUGAGGUUAAGCGACUAAGCGUACACGGUGGAUGCCCUGGCAGUCAGAGGCGAUGAAGGACGUGCUAAUCUGCGAUAAGCGUCGGUAAGGUGAUAUGAACCGUUAUAACCGGCGAUUUCCGAAUGGGGAAACCCAGUGUGAUUCGUUACACUAUCAUUAACUGAAUCCAUAGGUUAAUGAGGCGAACCGGGGGAACUGAAACAUCUAAGUACCCCGAGGAAAAGAAAUCAACCGAGAUUCCCCCAGUAGCGGCGAGCGAACGGGGAGCAGCCCAGAGCCUGAAUCAGUGUGUGUGUUAGUGGAAGCGUCUGGAAAGGCGUGCGAUACAGGGUGACAGCCCCGUACACAAAAAUGCACAUAUUGUGAGCUCGAUGAGUAGGGCGGGACACGUGGUAUCCUGUCUGAAUAUGGGGGGACCAUCCUCCAAGGCUAAAUACUCCUGACUGACCGAUAGUGAACCAGUACCGUGAGGGAAAGGCGAAAAGAACCCCGGCGAGGGGAGUGAAAAAGAACCUGAAACCGUGUACGUACAAGCAGUGGGAGCACGCUUAGGCGUGUGACUGCGUACCUUUUGUAUAAUGGGUCAGCGACUUAUAUUCUGUAGCAAGGUUAACCGAAUAGGGGAGCCGAAGGGAAACCGAGUCUUAACUGGGCGUUAAGUUGCAGGGUAUAGACCCGAAACCCGGUGAUCUAGCCAUGGGCAGGUUGAAGGUUGGGUAACACUAACUGGAGGACCGAACCGACUAAUGUUGAAAAAUUAGCGGAUGACUUGUGGCUGGGGGUGAAAGGCCAAUCAAACCGGGAGAUAGCUGGUUCUCCCCGAAAGCUAUUUAGGUAGCGCCUCGUGAAUUCAUCUCCGGGGGUAGAGCACUGUUUCGGCAAGGGGGUCAUCCCGA